UACGUAGGGUGCGAGCGUUAAUCGGAAUUACUGGGCGUAAAGAGCUCGUAGGUGGUUUGUCGCGUCGUCUGUGAAAUUCCGGGGCUUAACUCCGGGCGUGCAGGCGAUACGGGCAUAACUUGAGUACUGUAGGGGAGACUGGAAUUCCUGGUGUAGCGGUGAAAUGCGCAGAUAUCAGGAGGAACACCGGUGGCGAAGGCGGGUCUCUGGGCAGUAACUGACGCUGAGGAGCGAAAGCAUGGGGAGCGAACAGGAUUAGAAACCCGGGUAGU
This 272-nucleotide ribosomal RNA is filed under the name uncultured bacterium. RNAcentral's name for it is "partial 16S ribosomal RNA". It matches the Rfam family "Bacterial small subunit ribosomal RNA", at positions 524 to 794 of the family's 1533-position model. The record is from RNAcentral.